UGUCAUGCAAUAUUGGCCUUUGUUCAG
This 27-nucleotide non-coding RNA is filed under the name Mus musculus (house mouse). The record is from RNAcentral. Lineage: Eukaryota; Metazoa; Chordata; Mammalia; Rodentia; Muridae.